GUGGCUUAGUGGUUAGAGUGUCCACCUCGGAUGCUGGAGGUCGUGGGUUCGAUCACCGACAGUGUCA
Molecule: non-coding RNA, 67 nt
Organism: Potamilus streckersoni
Lineage: Eukaryota; Metazoa; Mollusca; Bivalvia; Unionida; Unionidae
Source: the annotation of a GenBank genome assembly